This 1596-nucleotide ribosomal RNA is filed under the name Triticum aestivum (bread wheat). Its description in RNAcentral is "partial small subunit ribosomal RNA". Lineage: Eukaryota; Viridiplantae; Streptophyta; Magnoliopsida; Poales; Poaceae. The record is from RNAcentral.
AUGGAUUGGGUGCAAGGAGGCGAGUCAAUGGCGCCGGCGCUCGCCGCACCGGGAAUCUCCCCGGCGGCCGACUGCAGAUCCAACCAAGCUGCCGGCGACCCGUCCUCCGCAGUCAGGCCGAUCGAUGGAGGGUUGUCGGGGUCGGAUCUAUCGUGGCGUCCAGCCAUCCAGGAUAUCGCGCGAGUCCCAGACGAAACGCCAUUCUCCAAUGCGCACAUAGGGCUAGUAACGCCUCCGGCCACACUGAAGGGCGCGAAUGCAUGCGCCUACAGCUCAGAUUUUAAUCCAGAUGUACGUGACGAUGAUUCUGGGAACGUUAUAGUUGUGCCUGGAUGGAAGAAACGGAAUGUUGGGGCUAAUGGCCCUGACACGAGGACACCUCCGUCCACAAAGACGGCCAUCGAGCGACGUCUGCUCGAAAUGAAUGAUCGUAGAGGCAGUGAAAUCUUCGAGCCAGUGGUCGGAACCGACUUCGACUCAUGUCAAGAAGCAUAUGAUUUCUACAAUUUGUAUUCGUGGGAGCAUGGAUUCGGCAUUCGGCAUGGCAGAAGCAGAGUUAACACAAACAAGUACAAGUUGAUGCACGAACUUGUUUGUCAAUGUGCGGGCAAGAAUGACAAAGAAAACUCGUCAUCAUGCAAGAUCGAUUGCAAGGCCAUGGUGAGAUUGCUGCGUACCAAGGAUCAUGGAUGGUACGUCAGUAUGUUUGUCAAGGAGCACAACCAUCGUUUGUCGGUUGGAUACGAUGCAAAACUCCAGUGGAAUUCACACGAUUUCAUAGACCCUGUUUCAUUUGACUUCAUCAAGAAUCUUCGAAGCAAUAAUGUCAGUGUUGGCAAGGUUUAUAACAUUUUGUGUGGAGCAGAAUGGAAUUCGCAAGCAGUGCCCUAUAGGAAGCAAGUAUUACGAACACUAUGUGCCAAAUUCUCUCAGGACACAAUAAAAGAUGAUCUAAAAAAAACCAUGAAACUUCUGCAAGAUAUGAAGAUGGAGGACAUGAAUUUGAAGGUUGAGAUAGACGUAGACGGAGAUGGUCGUGUCCGUACAAUGCUAUGGGUAACAGGAAAAAAUCGUCAGGACUAUUUUCACUUUGGUGACGUCAUUACCUUCGACACAACAUACAAGACCAAUUUGUAUAACAUGCCGUUUGCCCUGUUUGUCGGGGUAAACAACCACUUCCAGUCUGUUAUAUUCGGUGGUGCACUAAUGCGAGAGGAAACUGAAGCUGCUUUUAAUUGGCUGUUUAAGACUUUUGUGGCUCUGAUGAAUGACAAGCAUCCCGUGACGAUCCUAACAGAUCAAGCUUUAGCUAUGAAAGGUGCGAUUGAGAGUGCUCUCCCUAACACUAAACACAGAUGGUGUAAAUGGCAUGUCCUCCGGGACGUUAAAGGAAAUAUUGUCCAUGUGUACAACAAGUCUUCUGGGUUCAAGAAGGAAUUCAACAAGCUAGUCAAUGAUGUGAUGUGUGUCGAUGAGUUCGAAUCCAAAUGGUUGUCCCUCGUGAACAGGUUCAAUGUCAGUAUAUGGUCAGACUAUAUGAUAAGAGGGUCAUGUGGGCAAAGCCGUAUUUCAAGGGAAUUUUUUGUGCUGGAAUGA